AGUGGGUUUGGAGAGGCCUGAAAAGGCUCAGGGGAAACCAAACUCCAGCUGAGGAGUCUGGGGACAUUCAGUCCUUGUGAGAAUCCUGACCAUGGCCUGGACAAUAGUUCUUCUUGGAAUCUUUGUUUACAGCUCAGGAGUAGUUUCUCAGACUGUGGUCACCCAGGAGCCAUCAAUGUCUGUGUCGUCAGGAGGGACAGUCACUCUCACCUGUGGCCUGAGCUCUGGGUCCGUCUCUACUGGUUACUACCCCAGCUGGUACCAGCAAAACCCGGGCCAGCCUCCAUAUAUACUUAUCUACAACACGAACAGCCGUCCCUCUGGGGUCCCUGAUCGCUUUUCUGGAUCCAUCUCUGGGAACAAAGCUGCCCUCACCAUCAUGGAGGCUAAGACAGAGGAUGAGGCUGAUUAUUACUGCUUACUGUACAUGGGAAGUAGCAUCACACAGUGA
This is a non-coding RNA of Chinchilla lanigera (long-tailed chinchilla), 451 nucleotides long. NCBI's taxonomy places the organism in Eukaryota, Metazoa, Chordata, Mammalia, Rodentia, Chinchillidae. The record is from the annotation of a RefSeq genome assembly.